GAUGAACGCUGGCGGCGUGCCUAAUACAUGCAAGUCGAGCGAACAGACGAGGAGCUUGCUCCUCUGACGUUAGCGGCGGACGGGUGAGUAACACGUAGAUAACCUACCUAUAAGACUGGGAUAACUUCGGGAAACCGGAGCUAAUACCGGAUAAUAUAUUGAACCGCAUGGUUCAAUAGUGAAAGACGGUUGCGGUCACAUUUAUAGGUAUCCGCGCCGCAUUAGCUAGUUGGUAAGGUAACGGCUUACCAAGGCAACGAUACGUAGCCGACCUGAGAGGGUGAUCGGCCACACUGGAACUGAGACACGGUCCAGACUCCUACGGGAGGCAGCAGUAGGGAAUCUUCCGCAAUGGGCGAAAGCUUGACGGAGCAACGCCGCGUGAGUGAUGAAGGUCUUCGGAUCGUAAAACUCUGUUAUUAGGGAAGAACAAAUGUGUAAGUAACUAUGCACGUCUUGACGGUACCUAAUCAGAAAGCCACGGCUAACUACGUG
Molecule: ribosomal RNA, 495 nt
Filed under: uncultured bacterium
Lineage: Bacteria
Description: partial 16S ribosomal RNA
Rfam family: Bacterial small subunit ribosomal RNA
Source: RNAcentral